AACUUUUAUAAAACUAACAGCCAUUGAAUUUUGGUGUGAUAUUAAAGGGAAUAACCACAUUUAUCUGGAAAAGCUAUUAAAAUAUUUCUUCCUCUUGAGUUCCCACUGUGGCUCAGUGGGAUCAUGGCAUCUCUGGAGCAGUGGGACACAGGUUCAAUUCCCAGCUCGGCACAGUAGGUUAAGGAUCCAGCAUUGCCCCAGCUAUAGCAUAGGUCACAACUGCAGCUCGGAUUUGAUCCUUGGCCCAAAAACUCCGUAUGAUGUGAGGUGGCCAAAAAAGAAAAAAAAAAUUUAAUUUUUCUCUCUUUUCCAACUAUAUAUACGUAUAUAUAUACAUAUAUAUACGUAUAUAUAUGUAUAUAUAUACAUUAAAAAUUCCACUCUUCUGGAGUUCCCAUUGUGGCGCAGUGGUUAACAAAUCCGACUAGGAACCAUGAAGUUGCAGGUUCGAUCCCUGGCCUUGCUCAGUUGGUUAAGAAUCCGGCGUUGCUGUGAGCUGUGGUGUAGUUGGCAGAUUUGGUUGGGAUCUGGCAUUGCUGCGCCUGUGGCAUGGGCAACAGCUCUGAUUAGACCCCUAGCCUGGGAACCUCCAUAUGCCUCAGGUGUGGCCCUAGAAAAAGACAAAAAAAAAAAAAUCCACUCAUUAAUCUUUCUUUUUUUGAAAGACAUAUUUUUCAUAAAAUAUGUGGCUCAUGAUCAUAUUUAUGAAAUGAACUUAGAGAUUUUUUAAAUUCUUGAGUUUUAUUUAUUUAUUUUUAGUUUUUAAAAUUACAGUUGAUGUACAAUGUUAUGUCAAUUUCUGCUGUAUAGCAAAGUGACCCAGUCAUACAUAUAUAUUUUUUUCUUUUUCUCAUCUCAUAUUAUCUUCCAUCAUGUUCUAUCACAAGGAAUUGGAUAUAGUUCCUUGUGCUAUACAGUAGGAAAAAAAUUCCUCAGUUUUCAUUUCUGAUACAGUAAAUAUCGAUAGACACAAUGUCAGUAGACAAAGUCCACACAUUUAAACAAGAGCUCUUUGGGUCCGUAAUAAUUUUUCAGAGUGUAAAGGGGUUCUGAGACCAAAAAGCUUCAGCACUGAUGCAAUAGUAUAGGAUAGCAGUUCCAGUGGCGGCAGAGGAAGGGAGGAGAGGACCUACGGAGACUGCUGGAUUUUCAGUCUCCCCACUCAGCCACCGCACAUCUUUAGCCCAGCAAUCAAGGCUUGGGAACAAGAGCUAUAAACUAUAUUCCAGGCGUUCCCAUCAUGGCACAGUGGAAACGAAUCCAACGAGGAACCAUAAGGUUGCAGGUUUGAUCCCUGGUCUUGCUCAGUUGGUUAAGGAUCCAGUGUUGCCGUGAGCUGUGGUGUAGGUUGCAGACGUGGCUCGGAUCUGGCAUUGCUGUGGCUCUGGCAUAGGCCGGCGGCUACAGCUCCGAUUAGAUCCCUAGCCUGGGAACCUCCAUAUGCCACGGGUGCAGCCGUAAAAGGACAAAAGACAAAAAUUUUUUUAAUUUUAAAAAUUUAAAAAUAAAUAAACUGUGUUCCAAGUAUUGCUGGUGUAAGUCUAUGAAAGGGAAGGGCACUUCUUUACCUCCUUCUUCCUGUCUUGUCUCCAGAUGAGACUUGGGUGUUGCACUGCGUAAAGAGAAGACCAGGAAAGGGCAUCAAAUGAGAGUAAGGCACCUUCACAGCCAUGAAGGAAGGUAUUUAGAAACACCAAAGCUGGUUGGUAAAGUCAAGCUGCCAGGGCCACAGCUGGUCCACUUGGGCUCAAGAGCAUGGCGAGGGAGGAGCCAGGGAUAUUCUCUAAAGCAGCAAAACUCGAAUUCCCUUCCUCCUGCUCUGGCCCAUUUCUUAAAAGUGACCUAAACCCUUCAGUGGCCUUUAAGAACCAACAGUUCUUCUAGGCCACAGUCCCACAUGGUUGAUUAGAAUAGGUCAACAUGAAAAGAAACCAGGCUUAAAGAGAAAAAAAAAUGAUGUAUGGAGUUCCCAUUGUGGCAGAGCAGAAACGAAUCCGACUAGGAACCACGAUCCCUGGCCUCACUCAGUAGGUUAAGGAUCCAGCGUUGCCGUGUGAGCUGUGGUGUAGGUCGCAGACAUGGCUCGGAUUUGGCAUUGCUGUGGCUGUGCUGUAGGCCAGUAGCUACAUCUCUGAUUAGACCCACAUACCUCCAUGUGCCACAGGUAUGGCCCUAAAAAAAAAAAAGGAAAAAAAGAAAAAGAGAGUAAAAUGUAAACCAACAUAGUAAUAACUGCUCCUUCGCCCAUACCUCCCCUUCCACUUCCACAGUCCCCUGAACUUCUCCCUCUCCCUCCUGCCAUCCAUCCCUUCCCGGCCUGAGCCCUUCCUUCCUUAGGCUAUUACAGAAGCAUUAGGGAUAUAGUCACUAGGAUAGGGAUUUUAGGGGUAAGGCCUUUCAUCAUAAUUUGAGUCUCCUCUGUGCCAUUUACCAGCUGUGUGAUCCAGCAGGUCAUGCUCCUUCUCUGGACUCUCAGUUUCUGCAUCUUUCAGAUGAGAUGAUCUUCCAGCUCUGUCAUCCUUUAGUUAUUAAUGAACAGGAUAUAUGUCCAGGCUGGAAACUAAGGACUCUGGAAUAAACAUAUUGUCAUUGAAAAAAGCAGAGGGGAGUUCCUGUUGUGGCUCAGCGUGUUAAGAAUCCGACUAGUAUCCGUGAGGCUACAGGUUCAAUCACUGGCCUUGCUCAAUGGGUUAAGGAUCAGGUGUUGCCUCGAGCUUCGGUAUAGGCCACAGAUGCGGCUUGGAUCUGGCAUAGCGGUGGCUGUGAUGUAGGCCUGCAGAUGUAGCUCCAGUUUGACCCCCUAGCCUGGGAACUUCCAUAUGCCUCAGGUACAGCC
RNAcentral lists this long non-coding RNA (2836 nucleotides) under Sus scrofa (pig). Its description in RNAcentral is "lncRNA (ENSSSCG00040063921.1)". Lineage: Eukaryota; Metazoa; Chordata; Mammalia; Artiodactyla; Suidae. The record is from RNAcentral.